This 446-nucleotide ribosomal RNA is filed under the name uncultured bacterium. RNAcentral describes it as "partial 16S ribosomal RNA". It matches the Rfam family "Bacterial small subunit ribosomal RNA", at positions 338 to 795 of the family's 1533-position model. The record is from RNAcentral.
CCUACGGGUGGCAGCAGUCGAGAAUCAUGCACAAUGGGGGAAACCCUGAUGGGGCGACGCCGCGUGGGGGAAUGAAGGUCUGCGGAUUGUAAACCCCUGUCAUGUGGGAGCAAAUUAAAAAGAUAGUACCACAAGAGGAAGAGACGGCUAACUCUGUGCCAGCAGCCGCGGUAAUACAGAGGUCUCAAGCGUUGUUCGGAAUCACUGGGCGUAAAGCGUGCGUAGGCUGUUUCGUAAGUCGUGUGUGAAAGGCGCGGGCUCAACCCGCGGACGGCCCAUGAUACUGCGAGACUAGAGUAAUGGAGGGGGAACCGGAAUUCUCGGUGUAGCAGUGAAAUGCGUAGAUAUCGAGAGGAACACUCGUGGCGAAGGCGGGUUCCUGGACAUUAACUGACGCUGAGGCACGAAGGCCAGGGGAGCGAAAAGGAUUAGAUACCCCAGUAGUC